RNAcentral lists this ribosomal RNA (343 nucleotides) under uncultured Paraglomus. RNAcentral describes it as "eukaryotic LSU rRNA". The record is from RNAcentral. Lineage: Eukaryota; Fungi; Glomeromycota; Glomeromycetes; Paraglomerales; Paraglomeraceae.
GUGAAAUUGUUGAAAGGGAAACGCUUGAAGUCAGUCGUGCCGGCGUUGGAUUCAGCUUGCUUCGCGGAGCAGGCGCAUUUCCGCGCAUGGCAGGUCAGCGUCAGUUUUGCGCGGCGUGAAAAGGCUCGGGUAAGGUAGCUCUCUUCGGGGAGUGUUAUAGACCUGGGCAGAUGCGCUGCGCGGGACUGAGGAUUGCAGCGGACACCCCCUCGGGGGCGCGGCGACCGAACCCUGCUCGGCCACCCUCGUUCGAUAGCGUGCUAGCGGACGCGGGAGCGGCAGUGCACCGGAACAGGCAAGCCAGCGGUUCGCUAAGGAUGCUGACGUAAUGGCUUUAAACGAC